Molecule: non-coding RNA, 307 nt
Organism: Salmo salar (Atlantic salmon)
Lineage: Eukaryota; Metazoa; Chordata; Actinopteri; Salmoniformes; Salmonidae
Source: RefSeq, a predicted model, not a curated record
CUUGUCUGAGCACCGUUCCCUCUCCAAAGAACAGAGGCUUCCUGGCGUCCACCAGAAUCAGGUCAAAGUAGGACUGCCACGGCCGGUGGGACGUCCCGUGCUGCAACAACCACACACAGAUUCUGGUCAACGCGUGCCGAAUAUAGUUAACUACACGCGUCUACGGUGCCCUGGAAGACAGGACUACAGACUUCCUCGUCACGCUACCUUGAAGUGGACCCAGUCGACGGCGUCGCGGAUGUCUUGGAACAUGCUCUUGAAGGACAUGAAGAGGUCGCCAUCUUUAAAGCCAGUCUCACAGCUGAGG